RNAcentral lists this non-coding RNA (29 nucleotides) under Mus musculus (house mouse). Lineage: Eukaryota; Metazoa; Chordata; Mammalia; Rodentia; Muridae. The record is from RNAcentral.
UGGCACUUCCGGAGCCCAUAUUAACGUAC